UAACUCUGGUGUCUCCUCAUUUGCGGAUAAAUCUUUCGCCUUUUACUGGAGAUUUCUGUGGGGAGGCUUAAUACCAUGAGUCUUAUCUCAUUUUUUCCAACUCCGUCUUUGCACGGAUU
Molecule: small nuclear RNA, 119 nt
Filed under: Schistosoma bovis
Lineage: Eukaryota; Metazoa; Platyhelminthes; Trematoda; Strigeidida; Schistosomatidae
Also listed under: 1 other name
Description: U5 spliceosomal RNA
Rfam family: U5 spliceosomal RNA
About the family: U5 RNA is a component of both types of known spliceosome.
Source: Rfam by way of RNAcentral